CCCUACUCCUACGGGAGGCAGCAGUAGGGAAUAUUCCACAAUGGGCGAAAGCCUGAUGCAGCCACGCCGCGUGUGUGAAGAAGGCUUUCGGGUUGUAAAGCACUUUAGUAUGGGAGGAACAGCUAUAGCUAUAAUAACGUUUUUAGUUUGACGUA
This 155-nucleotide ribosomal RNA is filed under the name uncultured Shewanella sp. Its description in RNAcentral is "partial 16S ribosomal RNA". It matches the Rfam family "Bacterial small subunit ribosomal RNA", at positions 331 to 476 of the family's 1533-position model. Lineage: Bacteria; Pseudomonadati; Pseudomonadota; Gammaproteobacteria; Alteromonadales; Shewanellaceae. The record is from RNAcentral.